Molecule: ribosomal RNA, 140 nt
Filed under: Echinostelium bisporum
Lineage: Eukaryota; Evosea; Eumycetozoa; Echinosteliales; Echinosteliidae
Description: partial small subunit ribosomal RNA
Rfam family: Eukaryotic small subunit ribosomal RNA
Source: RNAcentral
GGGAUCAAGACGAUUAGAUACCGUCGUAGUCUUAACCGCAAACGAUGCCGACUAGGGAUCGGGCGGAGUGAUGAAGGACCCGCCCGGGACCUCGUGAGUAAUCAAAGUAUUCGGGUUCUGGGGGUAGUAUGGUCGCAAGG